This 216-nucleotide ribosomal RNA is filed under the name uncultured bacterium. RNAcentral's name for it is "partial 16S ribosomal RNA". It matches the Rfam family "Bacterial small subunit ribosomal RNA", at positions 57 to 305 of the family's 1533-position model. The record is from RNAcentral.
GCAAGUCGAAUGAAUUUAUAUUCAUGGCAGACGAGGUAGGAACACGUGGGUACGUACCCUAGAGUCAGGAAUAACCUGUCGAAAGGCAGGAUAAUACUUGAUAGUCCCUUCGGGGUAAAGAUUUAUCGCUCUAUGAAUGGCCCGCGGUCUAUCAGCUUGUUGGUAAGGUAACGGCUUACCAAGGCUACGACGGAUAGGGGAGGUGAGAGCCUGACC